RNAcentral lists this long non-coding RNA (238 nucleotides) under Trifolium pratense (red clover). RNAcentral describes it as "long non-coding RNA (TPRA_LNC003606)". The record is from RNAcentral. Lineage: Eukaryota; Viridiplantae; Streptophyta; Magnoliopsida; Fabales; Fabaceae.
AUAACAUCCAUUUUCUUUCUAGCAUCAAGAAAACCCUAAAUCCGAAAUUGAAAAAUCAUCUCAAUAUCUGUAUCAAUUUCUCAAUAUCUGUAUCAAUUUCUCAAAAUCAUGCGCAAGUCUAUGGUGUGUGGAUAAAGCUGAGUCUUGUAUUCAUCUUUUGCUCCACUGUAAUUUUGCUCAGAAAGUGUGGAGGGAGGUUGGUGUGUGGCUGAAUUUGGAUAUUAUUAUCCCUCCCAAU